RNAcentral lists this transfer RNA (109 nucleotides) under Plectosphaerella plurivora. RNAcentral's name for it is "Plectosporium sp. AC-2010b tRNA". It matches the Rfam family "tRNA". Rfam says of the family: Transfer RNA (tRNA) molecules are approximately 80 nucleotides in length. Their secondary structure includes four short double-helical elements and three loops (D, anti-codon, and T loops). Further hydrogen bonds mediate the characteristic L-shaped molecular structure. tRNAs have two regions of fundamental functional importance: the anti-codon, which is responsible for specific mRNA codon recognition, and the 3' end, to which the tRNAs corresponding amino acid is attached (by aminoacyl-tRNA synthetases). tRNAs cope with the degeneracy of the genetic code in two manners: having more than one tRNA (with a specific anti-codon) for a particular amino acid; and 'wobble' base-pairing, i.e. permitting non-standard base-pairing at the 3rd anti-codon position. The record is from Rfam by way of RNAcentral. Lineage: Eukaryota; Fungi; Ascomycota; Sordariomycetes; Glomerellales; Plectosphaerellaceae.
GGCGAGGUGGCCGAGUGGUUAAGGCGACAGACUAGAAUGUACUGUCCUUCAGUCACUCUAACGCCAUCUGUUGGGUUCGCCCGCGUAGGUUCAAAUCCUGCCCUCGUCG